GAUGAACGCUGGCGGCGUGCCUAAUACAUGCAAGUCGAGCGAACAGAUAAGGAGCUUGCUCCUUUGACGUUAGCGGCGGACGGGUGAGUAACACGUGGGUAACCUACCUAUAAGACUGGGAUAACUUCGGGAAACCGGCGCUAAUACCGUAUAACAUUUGGAACCGCAUGGUUCUAAAGUGAAAGAUGGUUUUGCUGUCACUUAUAGAUGGACCCGCGCCGUAUUAGCUAGUUGGUAAGGUAACGGCUUACCAAGGCAACGAUUCGUAGCCGACCUGAGAGGGGGAUAGGCCACACGGGAACUGAGACACGGUCCAGACUCCUACGGGAGGCAGCAGUAGGGAAUCUUCCGCAAUGGGCGAAAGCCUGACGGAGCAACGCCGCGUGAGUGAUGAAGGGUUUCGGCUCGUAAAACUCUGUUAUUAGGGAAGAACAAACGUGUAAGUAACUGUGCACGUCUUGACGGUACCUAAUCAGAAAGCCACGGCUAACUACGUG
RNAcentral lists this ribosomal RNA (497 nucleotides) under uncultured bacterium. RNAcentral describes it as "partial 16S ribosomal RNA". It matches the Rfam family "Bacterial small subunit ribosomal RNA", at positions 28 to 507 of the family's 1533-position model. The record is from RNAcentral.